This 427-nucleotide ribosomal RNA is filed under the name uncultured bacterium. RNAcentral describes it as "partial 16S ribosomal RNA". It matches the Rfam family "Bacterial small subunit ribosomal RNA", at positions 355 to 774 of the family's 1533-position model. The record is from RNAcentral.
UGGGGAAUUUUGGACAAUGGGCGAAAGCCUGAUCCAGCAAUGCCGCGUGAGUGAAGAAGGCCUUCGGGUUGUAAAGCUCUUUUGUCAGGGAAGAAACGGUGAGGGCUAAUAUCCCUUGCUAAUGACGGUACCUGAAGAAUAAGCACCGGCUAACUACGUGCCAGCAGCCGCGGUAAUACGUAGGGUGCAAGCGUUAAUGGGAAUUACUGGGCGUAAAGCGUGCGCAGGCGGUUUUGUAAGUCUGAUGUGAAAUCCCCGGGCUCAACCUGGGAAUUGCAUUGGAGACUGCAAGGCUAGAAUCUGGCAGAGGGGGGUAGAAUUCCACGUGUAGCAGUGAAAUGCGUAGAUAUGUGGAGGAACACCGAUGGCGAAGGCAGCCCCCUGGGUCAAGAUUGACGCUCAUGCACGAAAGCGUGGGGAGCAAACA